AACGCAUAUUGCGCCCGCCAGCACUCUGGCGGGCAUGCCUGUCCGAGCGUCAUUUCCACCCUCAGGCCGCCCCAGGGCGCCUGGCGUUGGGGCUUCUGCGGCGUCUCGCCGCAGGCCCUCAAGACCAGUGGCGGGUCCCUCCGGGGCUCCGAGCGCAGUAGCUUAGUUAUCUCGCUUGGGGGCCUCGGGCGGGUGCCCGGCCGUUAAAAUACAGCGGGGGCCGGGGAGGGGGGCGUCAGCGUCAGCGGCCGCCCCUCCACCCCCCCCCGGACGACCGAAAGGUUGACCUCGGAUCAGGUAGGAAUACCCGCUGAACUUAA
Molecule: unclassified non-coding RNA, 320 nt
Filed under: uncultured fungus
Lineage: Eukaryota; Fungi
Description: partial contains 5.8S ribosomal RNA, internal transcribed spacer 2, and large subunit ribosomal RNA
Source: RNAcentral